RNAcentral lists this ribosomal RNA (490 nucleotides) under Limosilactobacillus fermentum. RNAcentral describes it as "bacterial SSU rRNA". It matches the Rfam family "Bacterial small subunit ribosomal RNA", at positions 460 to 948 of the family's 1533-position model. The record is from RNAcentral. Lineage: Bacteria; Bacillati; Bacillota; Bacilli; Lactobacillales; Lactobacillaceae.
GUUCAUACGUUGACGGUAUUUAACCAGAAAGUCACGGCUAACUACGUGCCAGCAGCCGCGGUAAUACGUAGGUGGCAAGCGUUAUCCGGAUUUAUUGGGCGUAAAGAGAGUGCAGGCGGUUUUCUAAGUCUGAUGUGAAAGCCUUCGGCUUAACCGGAGAAGUGCAUCGGAAACUGGAUAACUUGAGUGCAGAAGAGGGUAGUGGAACUCCAUGUGUAGCGGUGGAAUGCGUAGAUAUAUGGAAGAACACCAGUGGCGAAGGCGGCUACCUGGUCUGCAACUGACGCUGAGACUCGAAAGCAUGGGUAGCGAACAGGAUUAGAUACCCUGGUAGUCCAUGCCGUAAACGAUGAGUGCUAGGUGUUGGAGGGUUUCCGCCCUUCAGUGCCGGAGCUAACGCAUUAAGCACUCCGCCUGGGGAGUACGACCGCAAGGUUGAAACUCAAAGGAAUUGACGGGGGCCCGCACAAGCGGUGGAGCAUGUGGUUUA